GACGAACGCUGGCGGCGUGCUUAACACAUGCAAGUCGAACGGAAAGGCCCCUUUGGGGGUCCUCGAGUGGCGAACGGGUGAGUAACACGUGAGUAACCUGCCCUUGACUUCGGGAUAACUUCAGGAAACUGGGGCUAAUACCGGAUAGGAAUCCUUUCUGCAUGGUGGGGGUUGGAAAGCUUCGGCGGUUUUGGAUGGACUCGCGGCUUAUCAGCUUGUUGGUGGGGUAGUGGCUUACCAAGGCUUUGACGGGUAGCCGGCGCGAGAAGGCGACCGGCCACAGUGGGACUGAGAUACGGCCCAGACUCCGACGGGGGGGAGAAGUGGGGAAGAGUGAACAAGGGGCGGGAGCCUGAGGCAGAAACGCCGCGGGCGGGAUGACGGCCUUGGGGUUGGAAACCGCAUGCAGCAGGGGCGGAGCUUGUGGUGACGGUACCUGCAGAAGAAGCACCGGCUAACUACGUG
This 465-nucleotide ribosomal RNA is filed under the name uncultured bacterium. Its description in RNAcentral is "partial 16S ribosomal RNA". It matches the Rfam family "Bacterial small subunit ribosomal RNA", at positions 28 to 507 of the family's 1533-position model. The record is from RNAcentral.